GGGCCCCNUGAUUAUAUGCUUUACUUCAACUGGAAGGGCUGCUAGAUUAAUUGCAAAGUAUAGGCCAACGAUGCCCGUUAUAUCUGUUGUCAUUCCAAGGCUGCAAACAAAUCAAUUAAAGUGGAGUCUGAGUGGAGCAUUUGAGGCUCGACAAUCAUUAAUAAGCCGAGGUCUUUUCCCUGUUCUCGCCGAUCCUCAACACCUAGUGAGUUAUACUCUUUCUAUUCAAUUUCCAAAGGAUUUAUAUUGCUUUAUUAUAUUUAGUUUAAUGAUCUUAGGUUGGUUAGAUUACAUGGCUGAUUUCAAAGAUGAGGAACGUCUUUGUUGAUAGUUUAUGGGGCCCCGUGUUUUCUUCUCCAAAAUGAGUUAUGUUUUGGGCAUACGUUUGGAUGUGGUGGAAUGUAGCCAUUCAGGUUUGUAUUAUUUUUGUAAUAAGAAACCUGAAAACAUGUAUGGAGAAAGAAACAAAAGGACAGCCUAGGGGCAGGGAAAGAGAUAACCAUCUCCAAAAGGAUCUACUCACAAGAAAACCUUCCAAUCUUGAAGGAUUAUGAAGAGGGGAUAAGUACAAAAGACUUUGCUGCUUCUUUAGCACCACCCAGAAGCUGAGAUACAUAACAAACUUAACUUCAAAAGUCCUGUGAUUUCUCUUCCACCAACGGCUCCACCAAAGUGCACAAACUGUGUAGCAUCAUAACAAUCUGGCCAGGCCUUUAAACCAUCCCCCAUUAAGAACCUCUAGCCAAUCAUCCGCACGCGAGGGUGAAAAAAUCAGGAAGCCCAAACAAACAACUUUAGGAAAAAAAGCCCAGCCUUUCGACACAAACUGACAGUGUAGCAAAAUAUGAUUCAAAGAUUCUUCACUGUUGAAACACAAGCAGCACAAUGACAGAAACAUCACCCAUCCUCCGCAUUUUUUCUGCAUUCCAUCGUGAUUACUAACGCCCCUAUGAGUUAAGGACCAAAGCUAAACGUUCACCUUUCUAGGAAUAUGAAUUUCCAAAUAUAGUUGAUAAGGGGAAUUCAAAGAAGGCCUAGGUUCUGUGAGGUUAAAAAAGGCAGACUUUUAGGUGAAUUCGCUCAAGGGGGUCAAGUUUCCACAGCACAUUGUCUUUUCCUGGUCCCGAGUCUUUCUAUUAACGAAGUCCAACCUGUCAUUGUCUUCUUUGUCGUCGAAAAUUAUGUUAGAAAUCACGAACCUCUACAAUGGUAUGAUAUUGUUCACUUUGAGCAUAAACUCUCGUGGUUUUGUUUUUGGUUUCUCCUAAAGGUCUCAUACAAAUGGAGUUCUAUUCCUUACUUAUAAAUCCAUGAUCAACCCCUUAAUUACUAAACGUGGGACUCCUCUCC
This is a non-coding RNA of Cucurbita pepo subsp. pepo (vegetable marrow), 1350 nucleotides long. NCBI's taxonomy places the organism in Eukaryota, Viridiplantae, Streptophyta, Magnoliopsida, Cucurbitales, Cucurbitaceae. The record is from RefSeq and is a predicted model, not a curated record.